This 172-nucleotide ribosomal RNA is filed under the name Vibrio parahaemolyticus. RNAcentral describes it as "partial 16S ribosomal RNA". It matches the Rfam family "Bacterial small subunit ribosomal RNA", at positions 1 to 154 of the family's 1533-position model. The record is from RNAcentral. Lineage: Bacteria; Pseudomonadati; Pseudomonadota; Gammaproteobacteria; Vibrionales; Vibrionaceae.
UUAAAUUGAAGAGUUUGAUCAUGGCUCAGAUUGAACGCUGGCGGCAGGCCUAACACAUGCAAGUCGAGCGGAAACGAGUUAUCUGAACCUUCGGGGAACGAUAGCGGCGUCGAGCGGCGGACGGGUGAGUAAUGCCUAGGAAAUUGCCCUGAUGUGGGGGAUAACCAUUGGA